RNAcentral lists this ribosomal RNA (253 nucleotides) under uncultured bacterium. RNAcentral's name for it is "partial 16S ribosomal RNA". It matches the Rfam family "Bacterial small subunit ribosomal RNA", at positions 524 to 776 of the family's 1533-position model. The record is from RNAcentral.
UACGUAGGGUGCAAGCGUUGUCCGGAAUUAUUGGGCGUAAAGAGCUCGUAGGCGGUUUGUCGCGUCUGCUGUGAAAUCCCGAGGCUCAACCUCGGGCCUGCAGUGGGUACGGGCAGACUAGAGUGCGGUAGGGGAGGUUGGAAUUCCUGGUGUAGCGGUGGAAUGCGCAGAUAUCAGGAGGAACACCGAUGGCGAAGGCAGAUCUCUGGGCCGUAACUGACGCUGAGGAGCGAAAGCGUGGGGAGCGAACAGG